AUAGAAGAAAAAUAGGAGCGCUCUGUGUUCGCCAUCCGAUAAGAGACGAUAAAAGUUUAUAUAAGUCGCGUAUCUCACUCGGUAGCGAGGCAAUAAAGCUCGCACGUAGAGAAAUAGGUUCACGUACCUGUACAUAUACGUAUAAGUGGAGCAACGCAACGGAAAGUUGAUGCAGUUGCAGGAAGGAGGUUGAGAAGAGAGUAUGAAGCCCACGGUGAUUGUUAAGAACGAUGCAACUGUAGCUAUAGUUCGGUAAAAAAAAUUUAAGAGGAUCUGGAAAUGGAGUUGACGAAAGUGGCGUCUUGACUCCAUAUAGAUUACUUAAAUGGGGUUGGGGCGCCUACUCCUCCAGAUCCUGCAUAGGUGAGUUUUACGAUCGCUCGUAAACCGAUAGUUUUAAAUUUCUGUAGUAUUCUCUGUUUCAAUAUUAUUUUUAUCUCGAUCAAAAGAUGUCCCGAGGAAUCAAGAAAGAGAUCAAGGAAAAUAAAGAAAAGUCUCGUGUAAAGUCUCAUUACCAUUUUUCUUAACGUAUGAUUAUCGACUUGGAAGGAUAAAAACAGGAGUGCAAAAUGCAAACGAUCGGAGAUAGGCUAAAGAGCCAAGUUUAGUAUGUAAGGCUCGAAAGGAGAAAAACCCUGUAAUUACGACGUUUCUUCACUUAUAAAGUAUUGAAUUGAUAGCGCAAGUUGCUCGUCUUUAAUUAUAAGCAAAAUGAUGAUUAUCGGUUUAAAAUAGGUGCGUCCCUAAAAUUCACCGAGGAAUUCGAUCGUUAUCCAUAGGAAGCAUAAGGCAAGGAUUAAAUGCGAAGACAAUUUUUUGAGUUCAUAAAAAUCAUUAAGGCUUAUAUGACUGUAAAGUAGACGCACUGGUUGCGGCCACUUUAAGGAUUUUUAUGGUUGCAAUAAACACGAAAACAGGUGCAAUAAAAAAGGUAAAGCAGGA
Ceratosolen solmsi marchali is the source of this 942-nucleotide long non-coding RNA. RefSeq lists it as uncharacterized. The record is from RefSeq and is a predicted model, not a curated record. The transcript has 3 exons. Lineage: Eukaryota; Metazoa; Arthropoda; Insecta; Hymenoptera; Agaonidae.